AGCGAACGCUGGCGGUAGGCCUAACACAUGCAAGUCGAACGGCAGCACAGUAAGAGCUUGCUCUUACGGGUGGGGAGUGGCGGACGGGUGAGGAAUACAUCGGAAUCUACUUUUUCGUGGGGGAUAACGUAGGGAAACUUACGCUAAUACCGCAUCCGACCUACGGGUGAAAGCAGGGGAUAUUCGGACCUUGCGCGAUUGAAUGAGCCGAUGUCGGAUUAGUUAGUUGGCGGGGUAAAGGCCCACCAGGGCGACGAUCCGUAGCUGGUCUGUGAGGAGGAUAGCCGACACGAGAAGGGGGACACGGACAAUGGGCCUGCGAGAGGGAGCAGUCGGGAAUGGUGGGCAGUAGUGGCAAACCUUAUCCAACCAUACCGCGUCGGUGGAAAAGACCUUCGGGGUGUAAAGCCGGUUUGUGGGGAGAAAAAAGCAGCAGGUUGAUACCCCGCGUUUCUGACGGUACCCGAAAAAGAAGCACCGGCUAACUUCGUG
Molecule: ribosomal RNA, 492 nt
Filed under: uncultured bacterium
Lineage: Bacteria
Description: partial 16S ribosomal RNA
Rfam family: Bacterial small subunit ribosomal RNA
Source: RNAcentral